Molecule: long non-coding RNA, 5117 nt
Filed under: Ananas comosus (pineapple)
Lineage: Eukaryota; Viridiplantae; Streptophyta; Magnoliopsida; Poales; Bromeliaceae
Description: long non-coding RNA (ACOM_LNC008182)
Source: RNAcentral
GCAAUCUUUUGCCUACACUCUUCGUGGAGAUACGAAAGACCCCUUGCUAUGUCUAAGAUAAUUUUGCGCCGAGUAUGCCAAUCAAGAAGGGAGAUUCGAUCCGCAUUGAAGAUCCAUUUAUCAAGCGAGCCGUUGCACAUGAAUUCGUAAACAAGAAGCCUAUGCGUUUUCUCAGCACAAAAUCCAACCAUCUUUGCUAGGUUAAUGUGGUGAAUGCUACCAAUAGUCUCAACCUCGGCUAAAAAUUCUUUCUUCCCUUGGCCUAUCCCAUCCAAACGCUUCACGGCGAUCUUUUCGUCGCCAAUUUUCCCCUCGAAAACCGACCCAAAUCCCCCCUCUCCGAGCUUCCUAGAGAAGUUCUCAGUAGCCUCUUUCAAUUCCUUGUAUGAGAACCGCUUUGGCAUUCCCGGGACUCGAUCCAAAAGUUCCUCCUCGUCCCCUUCCUCUUUAUUGCAUCUCCUUAGCCCGAGCACAAUUGCAAUGAUAAUUAACACUAUGAAAACUCCAGGUAGCACGAUACCCAGCACAAUUCCUGUUUUAGACUGCUUCUUAGUAAAAUCCGGGCUUUUUGAAGGGGCAGAAGCAGGGGGUGAGGGGAUUCUCUGCACCUUAACGUAUGCAGAAGAACUGUAAUGACUUAUCGCCGGCUGAUUCGUCUGCAUCGAGAAAAUCUCCGACGGCAAGAAGCAGCUACCAUGAGAAGUAUUUCCCCCACCGAACUGAAAAAACGCGGCUUUGCACGAACAAUUCUUCAAACAAGCCGUCCUGCAACUCUCUUCGCUGACCAUACUCUGAAACGCGGCCGCAUCGGGGUCGACAUAAUUGAAGUAAGAGACGUUAGUGAGAGGCAACAAUUCAUGAUCAUAUGAAAAUUCACAAGAUAAAGGAGUCAACGGCUCGCAACCGAGAUUAGCUUCCCGGUCGUUGACUUGCCGGAAAUAGUCAGUCGAAGGGCAGCUGCAUUGUCCGCCAUCCGUGCAAAUGCCGUAAUCACCGCACACCGUCGGAUAAGCGCAGUUGUCGGGGUACACAUCGAGCACGUCCUGCACCGCCCUCCACCCAGCGAUGCUAUUAUCGUAGAGCCUCAAGUGCCCGUCAGAAUCGAACCUCAUGUACUGAGCCAGGUUCGCCGGGGGUAGCGAGAUCGACGUGUUGGGCACGCCUGGUUGUGUGAAGGGAACAAAGACCGACAGGCUACCGUUGGUGAAGGUGACGGACGCCGACUUGUUCACGGCUUUCGCUCCGGUGAUGCCGUACUCGUAGUAGAGCUGCGGGGGAUCGGAGUCGACGUAGGCGCGGAAACCGUCGCGGAAGACGGCGAGGUAGAGUCUGUUUUCGGUGAAAUUCGUGGCGGAGACGUUGGCAGUGAGGCGCAUCCCUUCGGAAAGUGACUGGCCGAUGACGAGCGUGUCGGUGGGGUGGUCGAAGGACUGCCAGACAGGGCCGUUGGCGCGAUCGAAGAGCAGCAAGUUUCCGGCUUCCGUGAGGUUAAGACCUGUAACGCGUUCGUUCGACGUGUUCGUGGACCAUACGAGGGAGUUGUCGACGUCGCGGAGAAUCAAGUCGCCGGCUUGGGUGAGCUGGAGCGUGGCGUUCUCGCGGACGGGGCGGGCGCGGUUGGCGGACCAGACGACCUGCGGGGCAGCAUUGGGGGGGUUGCUGAGGAAGCCGCCGCUGUCGGUGUCGACGAUGAAUACGGAGAAGAGGAAGGCGUCGCAAGGGGCGACGCAGAAGAAGCCGCAGGCGAAGGAUGGGCUGUAUCCGGAGGGUUCCAUGCGGAGAAGGAUGGUGCGGACGGAGGAGCCGUCGGCGUAGGUGAAGUAGUCGCGGAGGGCGGAGGGGUUGUUGGUCCACACGGUGGAGAGGUUGGCGGUCGGAUAGUCGUAGGGAUUGGCGUGUGCGCGGAGAAAGCUGAGGAGAAAGCAGGAGGCAAUCUCGAGGAGGAAGAGGCAACGGCGCCGGAGAAGCCACAUGGUGGUGGUGGUGGUGGUGGUGGAUUAGUGGGUGGGGUGGAAAAUUCAAGAUCCAUGAGCCGAUCUAUACAUUGCUUUAUUAGAAUAUUCACACUAGCUAGAAUGGUCAUUGCCUGCUCUCGGUGCAUUCACGCGCACAUAUCUGGUAUCAAUCUUCUGCUCUACACCAGCUACUUGUUUCAUCGUAUACUUUAGAAAAAAAAUUCAAUGAUUUUACACUUACUAACUUUAUUAUCUUGUGGUUUAAAAGUGUAUCAAUUUAGUACUCUGUGAUUUCAAUUUUAUUUUUUAUCAUCGAUUCUACUAAUUUUUUUUAUUAAAUCAGUGGCAGAGUUAAAACUAAAUGAUACUGAAGUAAAUAUUCGAUAAAUUUAGGUAGGUAUCUGAAGUUUUUUUGUAUAUAAUUUAAUAAAAUAUUAAUGAAAAAAUGAUGAAAAGAUAAAAAUAAAACUACAAAUACUAAUUUGAUAUACUUUAAAUUAUAGAAUAUUAAAAUAAGAAAAGCGUGACAUGAGUGAUAUUUGAAAAUUACCCUAUAUUUUAAUUUCAUCUAAAAUAUAAAGUAAGAUAAAUAAAAAAUAUGAAAUAAAUAAUGGACCCGAUGUAGGCAUAUAUGUCGUCGGUGGUGUGCUGGAUGNUAAUCCUAUCCUGUAGUUUUUUUUUUUGUGUGAAUUUUAGUAAUAACAAAAAUGAAAUUAAUAAGAUUAGUGAAAAAAAAAUAUGAGUCGGUCAAUAAGAGAGUUAUAGGAUUAGAAACAAAAAGUUGAUUAUAAAAGGAACUGUUUCGUUCCAUUUCUCUUACUUCUCACUGUCUUUUUUGGGAUCGCAAGCGGUGGGCGUAAAUGGUCCGGAGCAGAGAAAUUGUGACCGUACUUUUAGUAAAUUACACUUUUAGUUCUCAAAUUAUGAGAUACUGAUUAUUUUACUAGUAAAAUUUAAUUCAUUAUAAUUUUUAGCUUAAAUUUUUUAAAAUUAUACAGACCGUUCCUAACGUAAAUGACAAAAGAUUUGAUGGUUGAUACCCGGUGUUUAGUUUGAAUACUAAUUGAUUUAUAUUUCUAGCUAAGUUUAUUCUUAAAUGAAAUAAACGAAUCGGAUAGCAUCCUAUCUAUCUCUUAAAAAAAACAAUUCUGAAUUAUUAUAGUGAAGCAGUCUCACAGUUUAAAUUAAUUUAUUUACUAAAUAUCGAUACGUUUUAAGUCUGAUAGUGAUAUUGUAUCUUAAUUACUAUCAAUCAUCAACCAUAACACUAUUACAUACUUAAUUGGACCAUAAGUUUGAUUGCAUUAAAAUAAAAAAAUUUAAGUAAAAAAUAAUAAAUAAAUUAAAGUUUGAGCACUACCAUCUCACACGCUUUGAAAACCAAAAAUGUUGUCUAGUCAAAAAAACCAUUUGCACUGAUCUUGUUUGCUAGUUAUCCCUAGGGAUUGUGGGAUUGAUUGUUGGAUAUGCAGCCCAUAUUCAUCAACUAUCAAUUGGGAAGAUUACAAAAAAAUUUUCAUGGCAAAUUUCAUCACUUUUUCUCAAUAUUGAAUGAGAAAAAUUUUAAAAAUUUCAAAAUUUUUAAAACAUUUUAAGAUAUAAAAUUUCAAAUUAAGCCUAAAUCCUUAGACCCAAAUUUAAAUACAUAAGAAGGCUUAAUCCCCUGGGCUUAUAAAAAAAAAAAAAAAGAAGAUCAAUUCUGUUUCUUCCAUGCGGUUAAGUGAACUAUUUUACAACCACCAACUUUUAUUCAUUUUUUUUAUUGUGAUAUUUAUUUUUUUGAGAGAUAGGUAGCAAUAUACCCACUUCGUUUACUUCAUUUAGAAAUAAAUUUAGCUGAAAAUGUGAAUCAAUUAGGAUUUGAACUUGAGACUUUUAGAUACCAACUACCAAGUUCCUUACCGCUUGCGUUAGAAACGGUUAGUAAAAUAUGAUUUUUAGGAAUAAAUUACAGUUUUGGUCCUCCAAGUAGAUGGUACGUCAUAUUUAAUCUUCAAACCUUAAUUUACCAUACUUUUUUACCUCGAUUUUUUAUAUUGUUAUAAUCAAAUUCCACAAUAUAGUUUAACGUAUAAAUCAUACAAAAGCAAAUUGAGAAACUGGACACAUUAAUUGAAUCAAAACCUCUAUGGUACAAUUAGCUUGGAAAAUACUGCUUGGCCUAUAGAACAAUUUCUUGUGCAUUAAAUGUAAAUGCUAUGGAACCGCAAUUGCAGGCUCACAUAAAUUAUUUUAUUCACCUAGGUUCUGAUAAAACUGAUGCAGGAGGAACAAACAAAGAGCCUGGACGAUCGUCUCCGCUAGACAUUACUGUACUAGUAGCUACAAAAUCGUAUUCAAGACUAGUUUCCACACCGGUCGCUCCUUCCAGAACCUUCACUACUGUAGACAUCGGAGGCCUUCUACUACUAUCGAUCUGCAGGCACCACAUCGCGAGUUUCAUCAUUUCAAUCACUUCUUCUUCGGGCAACUUUAUAUCUUUGUUGGAACAAUCGACUAUAUCCAACAACCGACCGGCUUUAACUUUCUCUUGCAACAAGCUAAUUAGAUGAAUACUCUCUUCAGGCUGAGAAUAAUCCAAGUUCUUUCUCCCACACAAAAUCUCCAUUACGACGAUACCAAAGCUAUAGAUGUCGACCUUUUCUGUGAUCUUCGAAGUCAACCACUCCGGCGCUAGGUACCCCGGCGUGCCUCUCAUUCGAGUCAUUACCUGGCUUUGAUCUCUGUCGAUUAGCUUCGAUAAUCCAAAAUCGGAUACUUUAGCAUUGAGAUUUUGGUCCAAGAGGAUAUUUUGCGGCUUGAUGUCUAAGUGGGCAAUCUUUUGCCUGCACUCUUCGUGAAGAUACGAAAGACCCCUUGCUAUGUCUAAGAUGAUUUUGCGCCGAGUAUGCCAAUCAAGAAGGGAGAUUCGAUCCGCAUUGAAGAUCCAUUUAUCAAGCGAGCCGUUGCACAUGAAUUCGUAAACAAGAAGCCUAUGCGUUUUCUCAGCACAAAAUCCAACCAUCUUUGCUAGGUUAAUGUGGUGAAUGCUACCAAUAGUCUCAACCUCGGCUAAAAAUUCUUUCCUCCCUUGGCCUAUCCCAUCCAAACGCUUCACGGCGAUCUUUUCGUCGCCAAUUUUCCCCUCGAAAACCGACCCAAAUCCUCCCUCUCCGAGCUUCC